AUUGAACGCUGGCGGCAGGCCUAACACAUGCAAGUCGAACGCGUGGCGGACGGGUGAGUAAUGUCUGAGAACCUGCCUGAUGGAGGGGGAUAACAACUGGAAACGGUAGCUAAUACCGCAUACCAUCGGAUGUGCACAGAUGGGAUUAGCUUGUGGGUUGGGUAACGGCUCACCAAGGCGACGCUCCCUAGCGGGUCUGACGGGAUGACGAGCCCCAAUGGAGCGACGACAAGGUUCAGACGCCUUCGGUAGGAAGCAGUGGGUAAUAUUGCACAAUGGGCGAAAGCCUGAUGCAGCCAUGCCGCGUGUAUGAGGAAGGCAUUCGGGUUGUAAAGUACUUUCAGCGGGGAGGCGUUACCCGCAGAAGAAGCACCGGCUAACUCCGUGCCAGCAGCCGCGGUAAUAC
RNAcentral lists this ribosomal RNA (406 nucleotides) under uncultured bacterium. RNAcentral's name for it is "partial 16S ribosomal RNA". It matches the Rfam family "Bacterial small subunit ribosomal RNA", at positions 30 to 526 of the family's 1533-position model. The record is from RNAcentral.